AUUGCGUCGCAAUUCUGAUUAGCGGAACAUUUCGCUUUCAUUCCAUUAACCUUUCCGCUGCGGUCCCGGUGGACAACCGGUCAGUAUCACCGUUCUUCAUCGAAGGUAUCCAGUCGUCUACAGCCAUGCAAGCAAAGAUAUAUCUCUUCGCAUUUCUGCUCCUUGUCGGCGCCAUCCUGGUAUAUGGAACUCAUGAAAAAAAGGACCCACGCUGCGACGCACCGCUUCUGACGUCGUGUCCUAUGGACGCCUGGGGACACAACUACACUUUUCACAACGAAAGUAACUGGUGCAGAGAAAUAUCCGUCUGUGAAAGAGAUUUCACCCUCAACCAAUUUACAAGCAGGCAAGAGUGCUUGAGGACAUGCCAGAGGUAAUGCCGCAUCGCCACGAGAUCCCGUGCGCCGAGCUCGUGACAUGCAGUCAAGAAGACUCGACCACGUAAUUCGAGAAGAAUUCCGAAUAAAUGGGUCUUAAAUACUCAG
Ornithodoros turicata is the source of this 485-nucleotide long non-coding RNA. RefSeq lists it as uncharacterized. The transcript is spliced from 3 exons. The record is from RefSeq and is a predicted model, not a curated record. Lineage: Eukaryota; Metazoa; Arthropoda; Arachnida; Ixodida; Argasidae.